CGAAAUGCGAUAAGUAAUGUGAAUUGCAGAAUUCAGUGAAUCAUCGAAUCUUUGAACGCACAUUGCGCCCCUUGGUAUUCCAUGGGGCAUGCCUGUUCGAGCGUCAUUUGUACCCUCAAGCUCUGCUUGGUGUUGGGUGUUUGUCCCCGUCUCCGCGCGUGGACUCGCCCCAAAGUGAUUGGCAGCCGGCGUACUGGUCCCGGAGCGCAGCACAUGUCGCGCAAACGAGUGCCUUGGUACGGCGGCGUCCAUAAGCCCCUCUCUCACGCUCUUGACCUCGGAUCAGGUAGGGAUACCCGCUGAACUUAAGC
This 311-nucleotide unclassified non-coding RNA is filed under the name plant metagenome. RNAcentral's name for it is "partial contains 5.8S ribosomal RNA, internal transcribed spacer 2, and large subunit ribosomal RNA". The stretch from base 1 to 106 matches the Rfam family "5.8S ribosomal RNA", at positions 49 to 154 of the family's 154-position model. The record is from RNAcentral.